Molecule: ribosomal RNA, 170 nt
Filed under: Blastodinium sp. 1 CAdS-2011
Lineage: Eukaryota; Dinophyceae; Blastodiniales
Description: 5.8S ribosomal RNA
Rfam family: 5.8S ribosomal RNA
About the family: 5.8S ribosomal RNA (5.8S rRNA) is a component of the large subunit of the eukaryotic ribosome. It is transcribed by RNA polymerase I as part of the 45S precursor that also contains 18S and 28S rRNA. Functionally, it is thought that 5.8S rRNA may be involved in ribosome translocation.
Source: RNAcentral
AACACAUCUCUCAGCGAUGGAUGUCUGGGCUCGAACGCCGAUGAAGGGCGCAGCGAAGUGCGAUAAGCAUUGCGAAUUGCAGAACUCAGUGAAUCAAUAGGGUCUUGAACGCAUGCUGCGCUCUUGGGAUAAUCCCGAGAGCUCGUCUGUUUCAGAGUCUGCGUCACAUU